RNAcentral lists this ribosomal RNA (450 nucleotides) under uncultured bacterium. RNAcentral's name for it is "bacterial SSU rRNA". It matches the Rfam family "Bacterial small subunit ribosomal RNA", at positions 354 to 796 of the family's 1533-position model. The record is from RNAcentral.
GUGGGGAAUAUUGGACAAUGGGCGAAAGCCUGAUCCAGCCAUGCCGCGUGUGUGAAGAAGGUCUUCGGAUUGUAAAGCACUUUAAGUUGGGAGGAAGGGCAGUAAGUUAAUACCUUGCUGUUUUGACGUUACCGACAGAAUAAGCACCGGCUAACUUCGUGCCAGCAGCCGCGGUAAUACGAAGGGUGCAAGCGUUAAUCGGAAUUACUGGGCGUAAAGCGCGCGUAGGUGGUUUUGUAAGUUGGAGGUGAAAUCCCCGGGCUCAACCUGGGAACUGCCUCCAAAACUGCAUGACUAGAGUACGGUAGAGGGUAGUGGAAUUUCCUGUGUAGCGGUGAAAUGCGUAGAUAUAGGAAGGAACACCAGUGGCGAAGGCGACUACCUGGACUGUAACUGACACUGAGGCACGAAAGCGUGGGGAGCAAACAGGAUUAGAUACCCGGGUAGUCC